This 408-nucleotide ribosomal RNA is filed under the name uncultured bacterium. RNAcentral's name for it is "partial 16S ribosomal RNA". It matches the Rfam family "Bacterial small subunit ribosomal RNA", at positions 28 to 526 of the family's 1533-position model. The record is from RNAcentral.
GACGAACGCUGGCGGCGUGCUUAACACAUGCAAGUCGAACGAAGUGGCGAACGGGUGCGUAACGCGUAAUCAACCUGCCCUUCAGGGGGGGACAACCGUUGGAAAAGACUGCUAAUACCGCAUACUGAAGGAGGGGAUUGCGUUUGAUUAGGUCGUUGGAGGGGUAACGGGCCACCAAGGCGAUGAUCAGUAGGCGGUCUGAGGGAGUGAACGGCCACAUUGGGAACGGGGCACGGGCCAGAAUUCUACGGGAGGGAGCAGUGGGGGAUUUUCCGCAAUGGACGAAAGUCUGACGGAGCAACGCCGCGGGAGGGGUGACGGCCUUCGGGUUGUAAAGCUCUGUUAAUCGGGGCGCGGUACCGGAAUAGAAAGCCACGGCUAACUACGUGCCAGCAGCCGCGGUAAUUC